Molecule: ribosomal RNA, 1554 nt
Filed under: Klebsiella pneumoniae
Lineage: Bacteria; Pseudomonadati; Pseudomonadota; Gammaproteobacteria; Enterobacterales; Enterobacteriaceae
Description: bacterial SSU rRNA
Rfam family: Bacterial small subunit ribosomal RNA
Source: RNAcentral
ACUUAAAUUGAAGAGUUUGAUCAUGGCUCAGAUUGAACGCUGGCGGCAGGCCUAACACAUGCAAGUCGAGCGGUAGCACAGAGAGCUUGCUCUCGGGUGACGAGCGGCGGACGGGUGAGUAAUGUCUGGGAAACUGCCUGAUGGAGGGGGAUAACUACUGGAAACGGUAGCUAAUACCGCAUAACGUCGCAAGACCAAAGUGGGGGACCUUCGGGCCUCAUGCCAUCAGAUGUGCCCAGAUGGGAUUAGCUAGUAGGUGGGGUAACGGCUCACCUAGGCGACGAUCCCUAGCUGGUCUGAGAGGAUGACCAGCCACACUGGAACUGAGACACGGUCCAGACUCCUACGGGAGGCAGCAGUGGGGAAUAUUGCACAAUGGGCGCAAGCCUGAUGCAGCCAUGCCGCGUGUGUGAAGAAGGCCUUCGGGUUGUAAAGCACUUUCAGCGGGGAGGAAGGCGUUAAGGUUAAUAACCUUGGCGAUUGACGUUACCCGCAGAAGAAGCACCGGCUAACUCCGUGCCAGCAGCCGCGGUAAUACGGAGGGUGCAAGCGUUAAUCGGAAUUACUGGGCGUAAAGCGCACGCAGGCGGUCUGUCAAGUCGGAUGUGAAAUCCCCGGGCUCAACCUGGGAACUGCAUUCGAAACUGGCAGGCUAGAGUCUUGUAGAGGGGGGUAGAAUUCCAGGUGUAGCGGUGAAAUGCGUAGAGAUCUGGAGGAAUACCGGUGGCGAAGGCGGCCCCCUGGACAAAGACUGACGCUCAGGUGCGAAAGCGUGGGGAGCAAACAGGAUUAGAUACCCUGGUAGUCCACGCCGUAAACGAUGUCGAUUUGGAGGUUGUGCCCUUGGGGCGUGGCUUCCGGAGCUAACGCGUUAAAUCGACCGCCUGGGGAGUACGGCCGCAAGGUUAAAACUCAAAUGAAUUGACGGGGGCCCGCACAAGCGGUGGAGCAUGUGGUUUAAUUCGAUGCAACGCGAAGAACCUUACCUGGUCUUGACAUCCACAGAACUUUCCAGAGAUGGAUUGGUGCCUUCGGGAACUGUGAGACAGGUGCUGCAUGGCUGUCGUCAGCUCGUGUUGUGAAAUGUUGGGUUAAGUCCCGCAACGAGCGCAACCCUUAUCCUUUGUUGCCAGCGGUUAGGCCGGGAACUCAAAGGAGACUGCCAGUGAUAAACUGGAGGAAGGUGGGGAUGACGUCAAGUCAUCAUGGCCCUUACGACCAGGGCUACACACGUGCUACAAUGGCAUAUACAAAGAGAAGCGACCUCGCGAGAGCAAGCGGACCUCAUAAAGUAUGUCGUAGUCCGGAUUGGAGUCUGCAACUCGACUCCAUGAAGUCGGAAUCGCUAGUAAUCGUAGAUCAGAAUGCUACGGUGAAUACGUUCCCGGGCCUUGUACACACCGCCCGUCACACCAUGGGAGUGGGUUGCAAAAGAAGUAGGUAGCUUAACCUUCGGGAGGGCGCUUACCACUUUGUGAUUCAUGACUGGGGUGAAGUCGUAACAAGGUAACCGUAGGGGAACCUGCGGUUGGAUCACCUCCUUACCUUAAAGAA